ACGAACGCUGGCGGCGUGCUUCACACCUGCCAGUCGAACGGAAAGGCCUUUUCGGAGGUACUCGAGUGGCGAACGGGUGAGUAACACGUGGGUGAUCUGCCCUGCACUCUGGGAUAAGCCUGGGAAACUGGGUCUAAUACCGGAUAGGACCGCACUUUAGUGUGUGUGGUGGAAAGUUGUUUCGGUGUAGGAUGAGCCCGCGGCCUAUCAGCUUGUUGGUGGGGUAAUGGCCUACCAAGGCGGCGACGGGUAGCCGGACUGAGAGGUUGGUCGGCCACAUUGGGACUGAGAUACGGCCCAGACUCCUACGGGAGGCAGCAGUGGGGAAUAUUGCACAAUGGGCGCAAGCCUGAUGCAGCGACGCCGCGUGGGGGAUGACGGCCUUCGGGUUGUAAACUCCUUUCGCCAGGGACGAAGCGUUUUGUGACGGUACCUGGAGAAGAAGCACCGGCUAACUACGUG
RNAcentral lists this ribosomal RNA (462 nucleotides) under uncultured bacterium. RNAcentral describes it as "partial 16S ribosomal RNA". It matches the Rfam family "Bacterial small subunit ribosomal RNA", at positions 29 to 507 of the family's 1533-position model. The record is from RNAcentral.